AUACGGAGGGUGCGAGCGUUAAUCGGAAUUACUGGGCGUAAAGGGUGCGUAGGCGGCUUGAUAAGUCGGAUGUGAAAGCCCCGGGCUUAACCUGGGAAUUGCAUUCGAUACUGUCAGGCUAGAGUAUGUCAGAGGUUGGCGGAAUUCCUGGUGUAGCGGUGAAAUGCGUAGUUAUCAGGAGGAACACCAGUGGCGAAGGCGGCUAACUGGGGCAAUACUGACGCUGAGGCACGAAAGCGUGGGGAGCAAACAGGAUUAGAAACCCUGGUAGUCC
This 274-nucleotide ribosomal RNA is filed under the name uncultured bacterium. RNAcentral's name for it is "partial 16S ribosomal RNA". It matches the Rfam family "Bacterial small subunit ribosomal RNA", at positions 523 to 796 of the family's 1533-position model. The record is from RNAcentral.